This 253-nucleotide ribosomal RNA is filed under the name uncultured bacterium. RNAcentral describes it as "partial 16S ribosomal RNA". It matches the Rfam family "Bacterial small subunit ribosomal RNA", at positions 524 to 776 of the family's 1533-position model. The record is from RNAcentral.
UACGGAGGGUGCAAGCGUUAUCCGGAUUCACUGGGUUUAAAGGGUGCGUAGGCGGGCAGGUAAGUAGGUGGUGAAAUCUCCGAGCUUAACUCGGAAACUGCCGUUGAUACUAUUUGUCUUGAAUAUUGUGGAGGUAAGCGGAAUAUGUCAUGUAGCGGUGAAAUGCUUAGAUAUGACAUAGAACACCAAUUGCGAAGGCAGCUUACUACACAACGAUUGACGCUGAGGCACGAAAGCGUGGGGAUCAAACAGG